AGGAUUGGCGCCUCCACCACCACAUGGUAUGGGCCCAGUCCUCUGCCAGAUGCUGUUGGUCUUCUGGGCUCCCCUGAGUUGCUGUGUUGGCUGUGCCCAGAUCCUUGGAGUGGGAUAAGUGACAUUGGUGUCCCUACCGGAAGGCGGUCUUUGCUUUUGUUGUUCUGUGCCCACACGCUUGCAGUGUGGAACUUCUGCCCUUGCAAGCGGUGUCACUACUUCAGGCAUUGUCUUUGUGGAUACAGCAGGAAACCGCAGUCGGAGGUGGAUGCAAAUAUCCAACGCUUAGUCUCUGUGCUCAGGGAAUCCUGUCUGUACUUAGGGGCUGGUAGCCGUUUGUACCUGGAAGCUGCUUCCUUCACUUCAGAGUGUGGCAGAUCCUAAUUCCAUUGAAGGGCUGGUAGCUGUAAGAACAGCAUCUGAACCUGGAAAUAGCUUCCUUUGGGGUGUGGGCAUAAUGGGGUUUAAGGAUUACCUGGGCUCCUCCAAUCAGCGGUGUGAGAUCUGUGCGGCAGGUAACGAACACCGUGAGCCCCAUGUUGGUGCACUGCUUGUACGCAGGUGGCAGCAGAGCUGCGGUGCUCCCGAGUGCCGUAACAAC
Molecule: non-coding RNA, 601 nt
Organism: Meleagris gallopavo (turkey)
Lineage: Eukaryota; Metazoa; Chordata; Aves; Galliformes; Phasianidae
Source: RefSeq, a predicted model, not a curated record